RNAcentral lists this ribosomal RNA (377 nucleotides) under uncultured organism. RNAcentral's name for it is "partial 16S ribosomal RNA". It matches the Rfam family "Bacterial small subunit ribosomal RNA", at positions 527 to 896 of the family's 1533-position model. The record is from RNAcentral.
GUAGGUGGCAAGCGUUGUCCGGAAUUAUUGGGCGUGAAGCGCGCGCAGGUGGUUCUUUAAGUCUGAUGUGAAAGCCCCCGGCUCAACCGGGGAGGGUCAUUGGAAACUGGGGAACUUGAGUGCAGGAGAGGAAAGUGGAAUUCCACGUGUAGCGGUGAAAUGCGUAGAUAUGUGGAGGAGCACCAGUGGCGAAGGCGACUUUCUGGCCUGUAACUGACACUGAGGCGCGAAAGCGUGGGGGAGCAAACAGGAUUAGAUACCCUGGUAGUCCACGCCGUAAACGAUGAGUGCUAAGUGUUGGGGGGUUUUCUGCCCCCCCCCUCAGUGCUGCAGCUAACGCAUUAAGCACUCCGCCUGGGAGUACGGUCGCAAGACUG